GUGUUUACGUUGGCACCACAUAUAAUAAAAGUAGAAUCAUAGAGAGAUGAUUACCAUGACCCCGUCAAAGAAGAACAUGCAAUUAUGUGAAGUAGUCCAUAUUUUU
Nomascus leucogenys (northern white-cheeked gibbon) is the source of this 106-nucleotide small nuclear RNA. Lineage: Eukaryota; Metazoa; Chordata; Mammalia; Primates; Hylobatidae. The record is from Ensembl.